CAUUUCUACAGCUAAAUAGAAUUUUGUGACUUCAGCUAAAAGCACUUUUUCAGGAAUGGGUGCUUUUAUGGCAUAUUACUAGUAUCAGCUAACUUUCUACACUCAGCACUAUGUGCUGGUAUAGGAGCUUUUGAUUUAGCAGGUAAAUUGUUGUAAAAGCAGUCAUCUUUUAUUUCUUUUGUAAAUUUCUUUUUUUCUCUUUGGCAUAGAGGAAAUUAUUUUGCUACUCCACCAGCAUAAAUAUAUUUUUUCUGCAGUCAAUAAUGCAAACCUAGACACUUUGAUAUACCGCUAAAGAAUCACUCAAAAGCUACCUGUAGCAUCUACUGCUUCCUGUACUUUAGCUAGAAAUACCAUCAUGUAUUUUUGCGUUUCAGAGGAAAGAAGAGAGUUUUGCGAUAUCCAAGGGAAUAACACUGUCUUUUUAAUUAAGAUUCACAUGAAAUGUUUUUCACAUAGGUAUCAGAGCAUGGUGUCAGUGCUUCAAGUCAAGAGGUCAAAACUAAAUAUAACCAGCCUAAUUUUAUUUGUCAAGAAAAUAACAAAGCUAAACAGAGCUGAACUAAUAAGAAAUAAAUAGUUUGUCUUUUCUUAGUUUACUAAUUUAGAGUUCAUUCCAUAAAAGGGUUUAUUCCUAUCAGUACUCAGCCUGUAACUCCAAAUUUUAAUAUGUCUUUUGGACUCUGUGUAAGCCAUUAUGGAAUAAACGCCACAUGUUUGUCAUGGUCAGACCAGGCUGGAUGGGGCUUUGAGCAGCCUUGUCUAGAGGAGGGUGUUGGAACUAGAUGAUCUUUAAGGUCCCCUCCAACCCAAAACAUUCUAUGAUCCUGUGAUCUAUUAUUCUGUUUUAUUUAGUAUAAAACACACUGCCCAUGUAAUUACUAUUAAUGUUGUUUUGAGGAGUGGUGGCAGGGGUUGUGCCAGGGUUGCUAGCUAACUAAAGGGGAAGGAUACAUUGCAACUAACGAUUGUGCUCUGGGACACGUAUGCACUGUCUGCUUGUUAACUAAUGCUCAAAUUGGUGAUUUUUGGAAGGUGUGACCCAGCACUAAUGCUACUAUUAGAAAUGUAGGAAGGUAGCGACAAAUACCUGCCCUACUGGGACACUGUAGACCAGCCAGGAGGUGAUCCCAAGGAAAAAGAUGGGGUCGAAGCCUCUCCAUCCCAUGAAGGCAGAUGCCUAAGUCUAACCUGCAGAAGGAGACCACAGGUGUGUAUUGGGCUCCUCCAUAAGCCCACUUUGGUUUCUGAUCAGCCCUUUGUCACAUAGUGUAGUGUCCGUUUUGCUUAGAAAUUGGGUGGUAGUAGUGCUGUCUCAGGACGCGAGAGAUCAAAGCAACUUCUUUCUCAGCAAGGACUUGAAGCAACAUCCUCGUGUCUCAGCAGAGUGCCCUUACCACCGGUCUGGGGAAUAUUUUUAAGCCAGGAUUCUCGGUGUUUUCUGUUGAAACUCAUUUACUUUGCAUAGACUGAUAAAAUAUUCUGCAGACUAGAAAGUACAAGUUCUAAGUCCCGAUUUGCACUUCAGUGAAUGUUUAUUUGGUUUAUAGAGGGGGGUACAGCAUUUGGUAGGCUCUGGGUGUUCAGCAGCAUUAGACUGUAGGGUUGCAGUCAUCAGCAGGCACUCUUGAUACUGAAGGACCUCUGUGGUACCUUGUGACAGUAGUGCCUCCAAGAGGUAGGGAGCUGCUGCCCAGGUGUCUGAAGAUCAGUGCAUUGGAUCGCUGCCUACCUUUUGUGACAGACACCUGGGCACCCUCCGUUCCACUGGAAAUAGGUGGACACUACGACCCCUGAGCAAUACAGAGGGUUAGCAUACUGGGAUAUUUGCAGCAUCUAGAUCCUCCUCUGCUCUUUGAAACCAUUGGAAAAAACCUGUUACUGACUUCAGUUGCGUCAAAUGAAUGAUUUGUCAAUGCCUCAAGACACCCUUAUCUCAUGAGCAGCUAUUUUUCUUUGAAUAACUUAAGAACGUUGAAAGGACUGUGUUUCCUUUUUCUUUUAAAAAACCCCCACCUAUGCUCACCCCAGCCCAUAUUAUGAUCUUGAUUAAAACCUGUUUAUUUUAACUGUAAAUGGCACAAAAUGUAUCUUGUCAUAAAGGCACAGCCUGAAGCAACUCCUCAAACUGGCGUAUGAUACAGCUGCCCUUUUCAUGGGGUGAUGGAGGUUGGAGAGGGUCUCUGCAGAUCCUCUGCAGAUGCUCUAGUCCAGCCUGCGCUCCAGGCGGGGUCAGCUGCAGCCAGCUGUGCAGGGAUGUGUCCUCCUGGGGUCUGGGUAUCUCCAUGGACAGUCCAUAAGCUCUCAGGACAACCUGUGCCGGUGUUCAACCACCCUCGCAGUAAAAGAGGGGUUUUUUCUCCUGUUAAAUGGAAUUGCCUGUAUUUUCAAUUUGUGCCUGUUGCCUCUUGUGUUUUUUCUGUGUGAACUGUUCACGAGCAGUGAGGUGAAGGAGGAAGUUGCAUCAUCCUCACAAAACAAGGCACAUUUUCUGGAGAAAUUGUCAAAAUUUGCAUCCUUCUUCUCUGCAAGAAGCUGCAGCAUGUUGGGCCAGAGGUGUAAAGUCUUCUUGCAAGGGAUAUCUGCAUGGUGUGAGGCAGCUGCACUGGCCCUGUUAGAGCAGUCUGUAAUGGCAUGAAGGAGGGAGUGCUGACCGAUGUCGGAAGUGAACACAACUGCACUGAACGAUCCACCUGAGGCCAAGGACCAGGCUUGCUCCUGGAGUCACAGAGACCAAAGGAUGUGCCAUUGCCUAACCAUACUGAGCUAUUUGAACUUGUACAGCACAAGGUACUUUGUUCUCCUAGCUAACGUUUUUCUUCUUUAAGUAUUGUUUACGCGCAAGCAGACCUAAUGAUUCCAAGUGACCUGCUUCAGCCACUGAGCCAUAACCACAGCUCCGUAAUCCCAGGUGGGACAAAGAGAUAAGCUUACAGGAGCUAGUGUUCCCUUUUUUGUAGAUUCAUUCAGUUUCUGGGUUUUUCUAAUCAUAGACUCUGGUCUUCUCUUGCUUCUUGGUGAGCUGAUGCUUCAAGGAAGUUGUGCAUGUGCAGAAAGCGUGUCCUGCCAUUUAGAGGAAAGCAAUACAAGUAGAAUCUUUUAGUUGUGCUUGAAGCUGUACCCCUCAUUCAUUAAUAAAGCGUGUCAUCUCGCUGCUUCACUUUAUCCAGGCCAGCAGUGAGAACAGAACUAUUCUUUGACUGAGAGAGGCUAAGCUCAUUGUUACGCCCAUAAAGUCUAUUGUCAUUCUUGUCCUUGAAUGUCAGUUGCCUAGCUGCGAACUUUGGAAGACAGCAUCAGACCCUGAAUCCUGUCCUGAAUGCAACCCCCUAUAGAUUUGAUUUUAAAGAGAUCCAUCUUUUCCUUAAAAACAGUGGCAUGCAGCUGUUGAAUAAAAGCAUAGUGAUUAAAGUUCUGCCACAAGAAGGGGAGUUUGGGUUUCAGGUCCCUGCUUUGACCACAGCUCUCAUAUUCUGCCUAUUCUUGAUAGAGGCUACAUUUAGUGGAGGGCAAUGUGUACAUAAUUUUAAGUUUUAUGGAUCCUUUACUGAUUCCAGGAUGCUUUUCACCAAGGCUGCUGUCGGUGAUGGAGACAUUCCUAUGAGGAAGAACUUGUUCAUCAUGGGGGCUGUUUCAGACACCCUGCUGAGCUGCCUGCCUUUCCCUGGUACCACGUACAGUACCAGAGCAUGCAAGGACUGGAUUACAUUCCUCGAGCCACUAAGCCUCUGAGUCCUUUCCUGGAUAUAAAGUAGUUUCUGUCAUCUUGCCAUACUCACCAGCAGAAGUGCAAAGAUUGCACCACGCUGUUCAGAUUCUCUUUAAGAUAACCACUUGCAAAUAAAAGAUUUAGUUCCAACGAG
RNA transcript from Falco peregrinus (peregrine falcon), 3863 nucleotides. RefSeq lists it as uncharacterized. The transcript is spliced from 3 exons. NCBI's taxonomy places the organism in Eukaryota, Metazoa, Chordata, Aves, Falconiformes, Falconidae. The record is from RefSeq and is a predicted model, not a curated record.